CCACGCCCAAAUCCGCACCAAAUCGAGCGCCGCCACAUCCCUCCUCCGGCGGCACGCACGCAGGCGGCGCUGCUCGACCGACUCGCAGGUCAGGUGCAGGGACCCGCCGCCGCCGCCGCAAUGCAGGAAGCUCCCCUCCACCCGGCCCACCCCGUGCCCUUCGGCCCCAGACUGCCGGCCUUCCGCGAUCGCCGCCUCUGCCCCCCCACCGCCGACGGGCCCUUCUUCUACGGCGGCUGCACCCCCUUCGUCCCGAGCCCCAGGCCGUCCCCGCUCGGGCGCGGCAGCCCCCCCUUCACCCCGAGCCCCAGGUCCUCGUCGCCCGGCACCCCCUGGUCCUCCUCGGCCUCUUCCUCCUCCGGCUCCCGCGUCGACGCGGCGGCCACGGAGCAUGGCCUGCGCAUGGCCCGCCUCGCGCUGCAGUACCAGGACUUCGCCAACCGCUACCAGCUCUGCCUCUCCCACCUCGCCGACGCCGCGCGCGAGGCCGCCGCCAUCCGCCACGACAACUCCGGCCUCCGCCUCGCCAACAACGUCCUCGCCAGCCGCUUCGCCGUGCUCGGCGGCAACCAGGCCUCAGCCGUCGCGCUGGCCGAGCAGCUCCACCGCCUCCACCUCGGGCAGAUGCAGGCGCAGGCAGUGCCCGCUCCCCCGGUGCUGCCCAUGCCCAUGGCGCCGCGCCUCGCCUCCUCGGCCGAGAAGCUGCGCCCCCUCCACCCCGGGCAGAUGCAGGCGCAGGUCGUGCCGGCUCCCCCGCCGAUGCCCAGGGCGCGGCCCGCCUCCCCGGCCGAGAAGCACGCGGCGAUGCCCAAGAGCAUCUCCAUCCGCUCCAACGGCUACCUGAAGAUGGACAGGAACGGCAAGCAUCGCGUGACGGCGCCGGUGAACGUCGGCUCGGUGAGAUCAUCGAAACCCAACCCCUCCAUUCCUGCAACCCAAUCCCGCGGCUCUGUGCCAAUCCAGUCCAUGACGCUCACGUGUUCGAGCAUUUGCUUGUGUCGAUGCAAUGCGAGCAGCAGCGCGUGUUCGUGGGCGUGGACGGCGCCAAGGCGGAGGAGCACCAGGGCCGCGGCGGGGAGAAGGGCGGUCAGGUCGCCACGGCUGCCGACAGGCUGCAGUUCGAGGUGUACAGCCAGGGCAUGUUCAAGACGGAGCUGUGCAACAAGUGGGAGGAGACCGGGGCGUGCCCGUACGGCGACCAGUGCCAGUUCGCGCACGGCAUCGCAGAGCUCCGCCCCAUCAUCCGCCACCCGCGCUACAAGACCCAGGUCUGCCGCAUGGUCAUCGGCGGCGCCAUCUGCCCCUACGGCCACCGCUGCCACUUCCGCCACUCCAUCACCCCCGCUGACUACAUCCCCCUCCUCCACCCCUGAUCGCUACACAUGGCACUGCUCCAUCGCCGACGGCCACUCACUCUGCUCGCUUCAUUCCCUCACUCCUUCCUCCCCCUUCAUAAACUAUACAUAUGCCACAUUGGAAAACAAACCAAAAACACCAAAAUGGGAGACGUAAAUAAGGCAAACUUUGAUUUAGAUGCACAGAAGCAAACGGCACUUGAGUCAAGAGAGUUAGGACAUGCAGGAAAAAAUGUGAAUAUUUGUGCUGCUUAUUGGUGGGUUACUUUACAUUGGGAUUGAUCUGGGAUUCUGGAUCAUCAGAGAGGUAAAUUAUGUGUUGGGGGGUUGUUUCUUACAUGGUCUGUUAUAUAGCCAAUCGGUUACAUUUACAUGAUCUUUGUUUCUUAGUUAAUUUUCAAGAGGAAUUUAUGGACGUAGCCUUGUCAACAAAUCUGUUAGUAUUUGAGUACACCAUUGGUGUUAUUUUGAUACUGUCUUGUGGAAGGAAGUUCAGGCUACUUGAGACUUCAGUUAUAUUGUAUUUCUGGACAAUUGGAGAAAUGAGUUACUCCUAUAUGAUUUUUGAAGGAUGUCGAGCAUAGAUGCCAAUGAUAUGAUUUGCCUAUAGUUUCUGU
This 1972-nucleotide ribosomal RNA is filed under the name Triticum aestivum (bread wheat). RNAcentral's name for it is "partial small subunit ribosomal RNA". Lineage: Eukaryota; Viridiplantae; Streptophyta; Magnoliopsida; Poales; Poaceae. The record is from RNAcentral.